CAAAGUAAUGCAGGCAAUAAGGACUGCCUUCCAGCCAGUUGUUGAAGGAUGCAGGCUACAGAUUUUGCUGGCAUGCCACACCAAACUAGUUGAGCCAUCACUCACUUCCAAACAGACUUUGAAUGGAGACCUUGU
Molecule: long non-coding RNA, 135 nt
Organism: Oreochromis niloticus (Nile tilapia)
Lineage: Eukaryota; Metazoa; Chordata; Actinopteri; Cichliformes; Cichlidae
Exons: 2
Source: RefSeq, a predicted model, not a curated record